AAUGAACGUUGGCGGCGUGGAUUAGGCAUGCGAGUCGCGCGAGAAUGUAGCAAUACAGGACAGCGGCGAAAGGGAGAGGACAACAUGGGAAUCUGCCCUGGGGACGAGGAUAGCGUCGGGAAACUGACAGUAAUACUCGAUAAUGUUUGCGGACCAAAGGUGUGAUUCCGCCCCAGGAUGAGCCCGUGCCCCAUUAGCUUGUUGGCAGGGUAACGGCCUACCAAGGCUAUGAUGGGUAGCUGGUGUGAGAGCACGACCAGCCUCACUGGCACUGAGACACUGGCCAGACACCUACGGGUGGCUGCAGUCGAGAAUCUUUGGCAAUGGACGAAAGUCUGACCAAGCGACGCCGCGUGCGGGAUGAAGGCCUUCGGGUUGUAAACCGCUGUCGUAGGGAAUCAAAUGUAUUGGGGUACUCCCUUACCUUCGUAGAGAGUCCUACGGUAGGAAGGGAAGGAAGGACGUAACGUACGUCGUCGGUCCGACGACGAGACCGGCCGGUAAAACGUAACUAACCGG
This 519-nucleotide ribosomal RNA is filed under the name uncultured bacterium. Its description in RNAcentral is "bacterial SSU rRNA". The stretch from base 6 to 470 matches the Rfam family "Bacterial small subunit ribosomal RNA", at positions 33 to 541 of the family's 1533-position model. The record is from RNAcentral.